AGUGAACGCUGGCGGUAGGCCUAACACAUGCAAGUCGAACGGCAGCACAGUAAGAUCUUGCUCUUACGGGUGGCGAGUGGCGGACGGGUGAGGAAUACAUCGUAAUCUACUUUUUCGUGGGGGAUAACGUAGGGAAACUUACUCUAAUACCGCAUACGACCUACGGGUGAAAGCAGGGGAUCUUCGGACCUUGCGCGAUUGAAUUAGCCGAUGUCGGAUUAGCUAGUUGGCGGGGUAAAGGCCCACCAAGGCGACGAUCCGUAGCUGGUCUGAGAGGAUGAUCAGCCACACUGGAACUGAGACACGGUCCAGACUCCUACGGGAGGCAGCAGGGGGGAAUAUUGGACAAUGGGCGCAAGCCUGAGCCAGCCAUACCGCGUGGGUGAAGAAGGCCUUCGGGUUGUAAAGCCCUUUUGUUGGGAAAGAAAAGCAGCAGGUUAAUACCCCGCUGUUCUGACGGUACCCAAAGAAUAAGCACCGGCUAACUGCGU
Molecule: ribosomal RNA, 491 nt
Filed under: uncultured bacterium
Lineage: Bacteria
Description: partial 16S ribosomal RNA
Rfam family: Bacterial small subunit ribosomal RNA
Source: RNAcentral